GACGAACGCUGGCGGCGUGCUUAACACAUGCAAGUCGAACGGAAAGGCCCUGCUUUUGUGGGGUGCUCGAGUGGCGAACGGGUGAGUAACACGUGAGUAACCUGCCCUUGACUUUGGGAUAACUUCAGGAAACUGGGGCUAAUACCGGAUAGGAGCUCCUGCUGCAUGGUGGGGGUUGGAAAGUUUCGGCGGUUGGGGCUGGACUCGCGGCUUAUCAGCUUGUUGGUGGGGUAGUGGCUUACCAAGGCUUUGACGGGUAGCCGGCCUGAGAGGGUGACCGGCCACAUUGGGACUGAGAUACGGCCCAGAAUCCUACGGGAGGCAGCAGUGGGGAAUAUUGCACAAUGGGCGGAAGCCUGAUGCAGCAACGCCGCGUGCGGGAUGACGGCCUUCGGGUUGUAAACCGCUUUCGCCUGUGACGAAGCGUGAGUGACGGUAAUGGGUAAAGAAGCACCGGCUAACUACGUG
This 468-nucleotide ribosomal RNA is filed under the name uncultured bacterium. RNAcentral's name for it is "partial 16S ribosomal RNA". It matches the Rfam family "Bacterial small subunit ribosomal RNA", at positions 28 to 507 of the family's 1533-position model. The record is from RNAcentral.